Molecule: long non-coding RNA, 956 nt
Organism: Wyeomyia smithii (pitcher-plant mosquito)
Lineage: Eukaryota; Metazoa; Arthropoda; Insecta; Diptera; Culicidae
Exons: 2
Source: RefSeq, a predicted model, not a curated record
CUCCACGCUUAAUUAAAAAAAACACGAAACGAAGUUGAACGGACCUUUCGUAGUUUUCAUUUACUUUGCACAGAAAAGGUGUAAACGAAAUUAAAAAGAACCAAAAUAUUUGCAAUUGCGUUUCAAAAACUAUUGCUCAUGUGUAAAUUAUAAUCCUAAAAAGUAAUACAGAUGAAAACCUACAUUGCAAUGCAAAUAAAAACUUAGGUAUAUUUUACCCUUAUUUAAACAAAACGUACGAGCCGUGUAUUCCUACGAAUGUUUUUGUUGUUGAAAAAAAGACGUGAUCGUCGUAAACAUCAUUGAAACACAUAUUCAAACAUCAUCUAAAACAAGAACUUGACAAGGCAAGAGGUUUUCUUUACAUAUUUUGCGCAAUUUAUAUGCUUUUUUAUCACCAAUGAAAAAGUUUCAUGAAAUGAAAAAGAAACCUGCAGCUGCAUUUAGUUUGUGGAACUAGUGAAUAACUCCAGCAUAGUUUAUUCUCGCCCUGAUUAUCGCAAUGUUUUUGGAUCUCGAUUUCAACAAAUCAUUUGAAUGGUAAUUCAAGGGAACGAACUGUGGCAGUGUGGCAGGAACGAGCGAAACAAUGAGAUGAAUCAGGCCAGGUUGAAACAGGAGUCAUGGCAAGAGGUUUCAGAACCAUUGAAGAAAACGCUGUUCUUGGAUCCAGCAUGUUUACUAAGCUGCAAACGACGGUUAAAUAGGUGAAAUCCUGAACAAGGUUCUACUGGAUUUAUCAAGAUUCUUUGGUCAACUAGCUUCGAAAAUGCAACAUGAAUUAGCGCAGAUCGUACUGAGUCGAUCAGCUGUUGCCAGAACAGUUGUUCUGUGGUAUAUUCUAAAUGACUUUUUUGUGUAAAAACCUGUUUGUGAGUCUGAUAAUUAGAUAUUGUAGCAUACAGAUGUAAUUGAUGGAUACAAUUUCAGAUUAAAUUCAUUUUUAUUGAACUAAA